GACGAACGCUGGCGGCGUGCUUAACACAUGCAAGUCGAACGGAAAGGCCCUGCUUUUGUGGGGUGCUCGAGUGGCGAACGGGUGAGUAACACGUGAGUAACCUGCCCUUGACUUUGGGAUAACUUCAGGAAACUGGGGCUAAUACCGGAUAGGAGCUCCUGCUGCAUGGGGGGGGUUGGAAAGUUUCGGCGGUUGGGGAUGGACUCGCGGCUUAUCAGCUUGUUGGUGGGGUAGUGGCGUACCAAGGCUUUGACGGGUAGCCGGCCUGAGAGGGUGACCGGCCACAUUGGGACUGAGAUACGGCCCAGACUCCUACGUGCGGCAGCAGUCGGGAAUAUUGCACAAUGGGCGGAAGCCUGUUGCAGCAACGCCGCGUGCGGGAUGACGGCCUUCGGGUUGUAAACCGCUUUCGCCUGUGACGAAGCGUGAGUGACGGUAAUGGGUCAAGAAGCACCGGCUAACUACGUG
RNAcentral lists this ribosomal RNA (468 nucleotides) under uncultured bacterium. RNAcentral's name for it is "partial 16S ribosomal RNA". It matches the Rfam family "Bacterial small subunit ribosomal RNA", at positions 28 to 507 of the family's 1533-position model. The record is from RNAcentral.